This 253-nucleotide ribosomal RNA is filed under the name uncultured bacterium. RNAcentral describes it as "partial 16S ribosomal RNA". It matches the Rfam family "Bacterial small subunit ribosomal RNA", at positions 524 to 776 of the family's 1533-position model. The record is from RNAcentral.
UACGUAGGGGGCAAGCGUUGUCCGGAAUCAUUGGGCGUAAAGAGCGUGUAGGCGGCCCGAUAAGUCCGCUGUGAAAGUCCAGGGCUCAACCCUGGAAUGCCGGUGGAUACUGUCGGGCUAGAGUGCGGAAGAGGCGAGUGGAAUUCCUGGUGUAGCGGUGAAAUGCGCAGAUAUCAGGAGGAACACCUAUUGCGAAGGCAGCUCGCUGGGACGUAACUGACGCUGAGACGCGAAAGCGUGGGGAGCAAACAGG